CUGAUAGAUAGAUUACAUGACAACGAAAAAUAUCCGAGUUUCCUCGAAGAGAUGUUGGAAUUUAUAGCAAAUUUAAUUUUGACAAUUUACGAGGGGAAAUGUGAUGUUAAUGUGUUUUUCAACACCGACGAAUCCAUCGGGCGCCUGCUUCUUCUGAACAAAUCUAAAAAUAUAAUAAAGUAUACAAUCGAAAAAAUCGUUAAAAUUCUCGAAUCUUUCCUUGAAAAUUUGGAGAGAGACACAAUUGAAUUAACAAAUAUAAAUAAAACCGAAAACUUAGCGUAUAUAUUUCAUUUAUUAGAAACAUUGUUGAAAAAACAUAUUAAAAUUACGCAAUUCAGUCAAAACACUAGAUUUAGUCAAAGCAAUACAUUUAGUCAGACACAAGAAGAUAAAUCUCUGAAACGGUCGACUAUUACCGAGAUAUGGCGAAAGAGAUGGAAUUUAACUAAAAAUGAAGUCUUUCAAAAAGAAGAAAAAGACAUUCUAGUGGACUGCAGCGAUAUUUUAAAUAAAAUAAUCGUAAAAGCUAUGAAUAAUUAUAGUUUGAUUGCAUUUGCCGCAUUGCAAUGUUUCAAUCUAUUGCAAUCUUGAAUAAAAUGUUUAAAUUUA
This is a long non-coding RNA of Pieris napi, 612 nucleotides long. RefSeq lists it as uncharacterized. NCBI's taxonomy places the organism in Eukaryota, Metazoa, Arthropoda, Insecta, Lepidoptera, Pieridae. The record is from RefSeq and is a predicted model, not a curated record. The transcript is spliced from 2 exons.